GAUGAACGCUGGCGGCGUGCCUAAUACAUGCAAGUCGAGCGAACAGAUGAGGAGCUUGCUCCUCUGACGUUAGCGGCGGACGGGUGAGUAACACGUGGAUAACCUACCUAUAAGACUGGGAUAACUUCGGGAAACCGGAGCUAAUACCGGAUAAUAUAUUGAACCGCAUGGUUCAAUAGUGAAAGACGGUUUUGCUGUCACUUAUAGAUGAAUCCGCGCCGCAUUAGCUAGUUGGUAAGGUAACGGCUUACCAAGGCAACGAUGCGUAGCCGACCUGAGAGGGUGAUCGGCCACACUGUAACUGAGACACGGUCCAGGCUCCUACGGGAGGCAGCAGUAGGGAAUCUUCCGCAAUGGGCGAAAGCCUGACGGAGCAACGCCGCGUGAGUGAUGAAGGUCUUCGGAUCGUAAAACUCUGUUAUUAGGGAAGAACAAAUGUGUAAGUAACUAUGCACGUCUUGACGGUACCUAAUCAGAAAGCCACGGCUAACUACGUG
RNAcentral lists this ribosomal RNA (497 nucleotides) under uncultured bacterium. RNAcentral describes it as "partial 16S ribosomal RNA". It matches the Rfam family "Bacterial small subunit ribosomal RNA", at positions 28 to 507 of the family's 1533-position model. The record is from RNAcentral.